UGGGGAAUAUUGCGCAAUGGGCGAAAGCCUGACGCAGCGACGCCGCGUGAGGGAUGAAGGCCUUCGGGUUGUAAACCUCUUUCAGCAGGGAAGAAGCGCAAGUGACGGUACCUGCAGAAGAAGCACCGGCUAACUACGUGCCAGCAGCCGCGGUAAUACGUAGGGUGCAAGCGUUGUCCGGAAUUAUUGGGCGUAAAGAGCUCGUAGGCGGUCUGUCGCGUCUGGUGUGAAAAUCCAGGGCUUAACCCUGGACCUGCAUCGGGUACGGGCAGACUAGAGUGCGGUAGGGGAGAUCGGAAUUCCUGGUGUAGCGGUGAAAUGCGCAGAUAUCAGGAGGAACACCGGUGGCGAAGGCGGAUCUCUGGGCCGUAACUGACGCUGAGGAGCGAAAGCAUGGGGAGCGAACA
Molecule: ribosomal RNA, 407 nt
Filed under: uncultured Angustibacter sp.
Lineage: Bacteria; Bacillati; Actinomycetota; Actinomycetes; Kineosporiales; Kineosporiaceae
Description: bacterial SSU rRNA
Rfam family: Bacterial small subunit ribosomal RNA
Source: RNAcentral